UUUACUGUGUCUUAUUAGUUUCAAGAUAUCCUCUGUUGUCUAUUUUCUUUAGUACAUCGAAAUCAGAUGAGAUAUGGCAUGGUGCAACCGAGUCCCUAUCCAGUUUCUCCACAUCUUCCUGAGAGUAGUCAGAUGAGACAUGAAAUGGUGCAACCGAGUCCCUAUCCAGGUGCAAGAGAUUGUAGACAAUAUCUACAAACUCGGCGGUGUAGCUAUGGACCUAAGUGCCGAUUCAACCAUCCUCAUGCACCGGUCUGAAGGUUGGUCAUUGCAAUAAGAGACCGUCGUAACACGUAUUCUUAGGUUUUGGGAAGCUACAAAUGUGAAAAGGGUGGAGAGCUCAUGGGUGUAGAUCGGGUUUCCUCGAUGAAAAGAUGAGUAUCAGGCGUGUAAUAGUUGCAAUCCAACUUCACGGAUCACCUUCAUAAAAAAUUAGAACAGUUGCUAAUAUCAAGAGUCAUCACCCAGACUAGAGCUGAGAACAACUCAAACAACGUCUGGCCUCAAACACAGUGCAGCCUUUUGUUUGAGAUGAUGAACAAAAAGAAAAGAGAAGAGAAUUAACAGCGGACAACCCUUCCACAAAGAGUAAUUACAC
Molecule: long non-coding RNA, 598 nt
Organism: Raphanus sativus (radish)
Lineage: Eukaryota; Viridiplantae; Streptophyta; Magnoliopsida; Brassicales; Brassicaceae
Exons: 4
Source: RefSeq, a predicted model, not a curated record